RNAcentral lists this ribosomal RNA (459 nucleotides) under uncultured bacterium. RNAcentral's name for it is "partial 16S ribosomal RNA". It matches the Rfam family "Bacterial small subunit ribosomal RNA", at positions 330 to 792 of the family's 1533-position model. The record is from RNAcentral.
UCCAGACUCCUACGGGAGGCAGCAGUGGGGGAUAUUGCACAAUGGGGGGAACCCUGAUGCAGCGACGCCGCGUGAGUGAAGAAGUAUUUCGGUAUGUAAAGCUCUAUCAGCAGGGAAGAAAGAGACGAAAGUCUUGUGACAGUACCUGACUAAGAAGCCCCGGCUAACUACGUGCUAGCAGCCGCGGUAAUACGUAGGGGGCAAGCGUUAUCCGGAUUUACUGGGCGUAAAGGGCGCGUAGGUGGGCGCUUAAGUCAGGUGUGAAAACUCCGGGCUCAACCUGGAGACUGCACUUGAAACUGGGUGUCUUGAGGGCAGGGGAGGAAAGUGGAAUUCCUAGUGUAGCGGUGAAAUGCGUAGAUAUUAGGAGGAACACCAGUGGCGAAGGCGACUUUCUGGACUGUACCUGACGCUGAGGCGCGAAAGCGUGGGUAGCGAACGGGAUUAGAUACCCCAGUA